CAGUGCAACACGAAACGAAGGAAGUUUUCUUCUAAACCAGUUAUACUCACAGAAGCUCAGAAGCAACUUAUGGUGUGUCGGCUACCUCAGGUUCUCAGAUUACACCUUAAACGGUUUAGGUGGUCAGGACGCAAUCAUCGUGAGAAGAUCGGCGUACAUGUUAGUUUUGACCAAAUGCUAAACAUGGAGCCUUAUUGCUGCAGGGAAUCCCUCAAGUCUCUCCUG
Empidonax traillii (willow flycatcher) is the source of this 225-nucleotide long non-coding RNA. RefSeq lists it as uncharacterized. The record is from RefSeq and is a predicted model, not a curated record. The transcript has 3 exons. Lineage: Eukaryota; Metazoa; Chordata; Aves; Passeriformes; Tyrannidae.